UCGAUUGAGUUUGAUCCUGGCUCAGGAUGAACGCUGGCGGUAUGCUUAACACAUGCAAGUCGAACGGGAUGCUUCGGCAUCUAGUGGCGGACGGGUGAGUAACGCGUGAGAAUCUGGCUUUAGGUUCGGGACAACAGUGGGAAACUGCUGCUAAUACCGAAUAUGCAGAAAUGUGAAAGAUUAAUUGCCUGAAGAUGAGCUCGCGUCUGAUUAGCUAGUUGGUGAGGUAAAGGCUCACCAAGGCGACGAUCAGUAACUGGUCUGAGAGGAUGACCAGUCACACUGGGACUGAGACACGGCCCAGACUCCUACGGGAGGCAGCAGUGGGGAAUUUUCCGCAAUGGGCGAAAGCCUGACGGAGCAAUACCGCGUGAGGGAGGAAGGCUCUUGGGUUGUAAACCUCUUUUCUCAGGGAAGAACAAAAUGACGGUACCUGAGGAAUAAGCAUCGGCUAACUCCGUGCCAGCAGCCGCGGUAAUACGGAGGAUGCAAGCGUUAUCCGGAAUUAUUGGGCGUAAAGCGUCCGCAGGUGGCAAUUCAAGUCUGCUGUUAAAGGUCAGGGCUUAACCCUGAACAGGCAGUGGAAACUGAAUAGCUAGAGUGCGGUAGGGGCAGAGGGAAUUCCCAGUGUAGCGGUGAAAUGCGUAGAGAUUGGGAAGAACACCGGUGGCGAAAGCGCUCUGCUAGGCCGUAACUGACACUCAUGGGACGAAAGCUAGGGGAGCGAAUGGGGAUUAGAUACCCCAGUAGUCCUAGCCGUAAACGAUGGAUACUAGGCGUUGCU
Molecule: ribosomal RNA, 784 nt
Filed under: uncultured bacterium
Lineage: Bacteria
Description: bacterial SSU rRNA
Rfam family: Bacterial small subunit ribosomal RNA
Source: RNAcentral